Molecule: ribosomal RNA, 253 nt
Filed under: uncultured bacterium
Lineage: Bacteria
Description: partial 16S ribosomal RNA
Rfam family: Bacterial small subunit ribosomal RNA
Source: RNAcentral
UACGAAGGGGGCUAGCGUUGCUCGGAAUCACUGGGCGUAAAGCGCACGUAGGCGGAUUGUUAAGUCAGGGGUGAAAUCCUGGAGCUCAACUCCAGAACUGCCUUUGAUACUGGGAGACUUGAGUCCGGGAGAGGUGAGUGGAACUGCGAGUGUAGAGGUGAAAUUCGUAGAUAUUCGCAAGAACACCAGUGGCGAAGGCGGCUCACUGGCCCGGUACUGACGCUGAGGUGCGAAAGCGUGGGGAGCAAACAGG